This 253-nucleotide ribosomal RNA is filed under the name uncultured bacterium. RNAcentral describes it as "partial 16S ribosomal RNA". It matches the Rfam family "Bacterial small subunit ribosomal RNA", at positions 524 to 776 of the family's 1533-position model. The record is from RNAcentral.
GACGAACUGUGCAAACGUUAUUCGGAAUCACUGGGCUUGAAGAGUGCGUAGGCGGUUUCGUAAGUAGGGUGUGAAAGCCCCCAGCUCAACUGGGGAACUGCGUCCUAAACUGCGAGGCUGGAGUGAGGUAGGGGUGUGUGGAACUUCCGGUGGAGCGGUGAAAUGUGUUGAUAGCGGAAGGAACGCCGGUGGCGAAAGCGACUUACUGGACACAUAUUGACGCUGAGGUGCGGAAGCGUGGGGAGCAAACAGG